AACGCACCUUGCGCUCCUUGGUAUUCCGAGGAGCAUACCUGUUUGAGUGUCGUGAAAUUCUCAACCUCUCUAGUUUUUAUAAGCUAGUUAGGCUUGGAUUUUGGAGGUUGCUGGCUUCUCAGAAAUCAGCUCUUCUUAAAUAUAUUAGCAAAGUCUUUGCUGGCCAUCUUUGGUAUGAUAAUUAUCUAUAUCAUUGAGAAUCAGCUUCCGUCUCGGAAGGGUUUUGCUUCUAAUGGUCUAUAUAGACAACUUGACAAUUUGACCUCAAAUCAGGUAGGACUACCCGCUGAACUUAA
This 296-nucleotide unclassified non-coding RNA is filed under the name uncultured Entoloma. Its description in RNAcentral is "sequence contains ITS2". The stretch from base 1 to 52 matches the Rfam family "5.8S ribosomal RNA", at positions 103 to 154 of the family's 154-position model. The record is from RNAcentral. Lineage: Eukaryota; Fungi; Basidiomycota; Agaricomycetes; Agaricales; Entolomataceae.